UACGUAGGGCGCAAGCGUUGUCCGGAAUUAUUGGGCGUAAAGAGCUCGUAGGCGGUUUGUCGCGUCUGCUGUGAAAACCUAAGGCUCAACCUUGGGCUUGCAGUGGGUACGGGCAGACUAGAGUGCGGUAGGGGUGACUGGAAUUCCUGGUGUAGCGGUGGAAUGCGCAGAUAUCAGGAGGAACACCGAUGGCGAAGGCAGGUCACUGGGCCGCAACUGACGCUGAGAAGCGAAAGCGUGGGGAGCGAACAGG
This 253-nucleotide ribosomal RNA is filed under the name uncultured bacterium. Its description in RNAcentral is "partial 16S ribosomal RNA". It matches the Rfam family "Bacterial small subunit ribosomal RNA", at positions 524 to 776 of the family's 1533-position model. The record is from RNAcentral.